GGCCUCCUGGUGCUUACCAAGGCUGUCUUCUUACACUGACUGAAGCAGAGAAAGAGGAAGCAGAGUAAACCUAUACCAUGUGCACCCCAGCCCAGGCCCUGUGUGUGUGCCUGGUCUGUAUUGUAAAUGCAGGGAAAUGG
Small nucleolar RNA from Gorilla gorilla gorilla (western lowland gorilla), 140 nucleotides. Lineage: Eukaryota; Metazoa; Chordata; Mammalia; Primates; Hominidae. The record is from Ensembl.